AGCCCUGCGGAGCCCAGGGGGACCCACAGUCAAAGCAAGGAUCGCCGACAGCCAAAAGGGAAGCCGCGCUCAGGGAGAGGCCGGCGGAGAGCACGGUGGAGGCUUCAAACGUCCCAGCACAACUCCGGGCCGGGGGCCGAGAGGGGAGCGCCGGUGCCGCCGCCAGACCUGCAGCCUAGCCCCCCGAGACAGCAGACCCCACCACUGCCGCCGCCGCCACCCACACCCCCGGGCACCCUGGUGCAGUGCCAACAAAUUGUCAAGGUCAUUGUCCUGGACAAGCCCUGCCUGGCCCGCAUGGAGCCCCUGCUGAGCCAGGCUCUCUCCUGCUACACCUCCUCGUCCUCUGACUCCUGCGGCUCCACACCCCUGCGUGGCCCCGGCUCUCCGGUCAAGCUGCACCCCCUCUGCAGAUCUGAAGACACACCUCACUCUCCCGGGGCCCUACACAGCCAGACCCGGCGAGGCCUCCUCUUCCCCUGGCCACCACUUUCCCCCAUUGGACCAUGGACUGAAGAAAACGAGCUGAGGGUCUAACG
Molecule: small RNA, 539 nt
Filed under: Pan troglodytes (chimpanzee)
Lineage: Eukaryota; Metazoa; Chordata; Mammalia; Primates; Hominidae
Description: processed transcript
Source: RNAcentral